Molecule: non-coding RNA, 250 nt
Organism: Cinara cedri
Lineage: Eukaryota; Metazoa; Arthropoda; Insecta; Hemiptera; Aphididae
Source: the annotation of a GenBank genome assembly
ACAAUUUUUUUUUCCUAUGCGUAACCUUUCUGUUAUCUAUUUUGCUCCGUUUUAUAAAAUGGUAGCACUUUUUUUUUUUGAAAGAAAAUCUGACUGAGGUGGUACUUUAGGGAGGUCAUAUUUUGAUUUUUCCAGAAAUUUCCCAAUAAAUGGGAAAUCCCCGAAAAAAAUUGGGAAGAAACGGAAAUAUUGAAUAUUUCCAGCAUAAAGAGAGAUGCGUAUUCAUCGCCCAAUGCAUUUUGUAUAAACC